AAGCGUUAAUCGGAAUUACUGGGCGUAAAGCGUGCGUAGACGGUUAUUUAAGUCGGGGGUGAAAUCCUGGAGCUCAACUCCAGAACUGCCUUUGAUACUGGGAAGCUUGAGUCCGGGAGAGGUGAGUGGAACUCCGAGUGUAGAGGUGAAAUUCGUAGAUAUUCGGAAGAACACCAGUGGCGAAGGCGGCUCACUGGCCCGGUACUGACGCUGAGGUGCGAAAGCGUGGGGAGCAAACAGG
Molecule: ribosomal RNA, 241 nt
Filed under: uncultured bacterium
Lineage: Bacteria
Description: partial 16S ribosomal RNA
Rfam family: Bacterial small subunit ribosomal RNA
Source: RNAcentral